Molecule: non-coding RNA, 27 nt
Filed under: Mus musculus (house mouse)
Lineage: Eukaryota; Metazoa; Chordata; Mammalia; Rodentia; Muridae
Source: RNAcentral
UAAGCUCAGAACUUGAAAUCCCACCGA